UCAGACAAACCCUAGUCUGACUGCAUUAAAUUUUCUGGCAGUUGAGCGGCCUGAGACAAAUAGGGCGGACUUCAAGAAGGACGUCGGGAAUAAAUUCUUCAGCAUCCAUAGAACGAGUGAGAGUGAAGACAGUGAUUCAGAAGAAGGACUGAAUGGUCUCAGUCUGCAGGACAGAUGUCGGAGGACAGUGAUGAAGAUGGCAUGUUCUCACCU
Puntigrus tetrazona (Sumatra barb) is the source of this 213-nucleotide long non-coding RNA. RefSeq lists it as uncharacterized. The record is from RefSeq and is a predicted model, not a curated record. NCBI's taxonomy places the organism in Eukaryota, Metazoa, Chordata, Actinopteri, Cypriniformes, Cyprinidae. The transcript has 4 exons.